CCCUUCAUUCCACCGGAAUCUGUACUGGCAGAAAUCCGGAUUUCAGUGAAAUGAGGAACA
RNAcentral lists this microRNA precursor (60 nucleotides) under Callorhinchus milii (elephant shark). RNAcentral's name for it is "Cmi-Mir-205-P2_pre stem-loop". Lineage: Eukaryota; Metazoa; Chordata; Chondrichthyes; Chimaeriformes; Callorhinchidae. The record is from RNAcentral.